This 1606-nucleotide unclassified non-coding RNA is filed under the name Hevea brasiliensis (rubber tree). Lineage: Eukaryota; Viridiplantae; Streptophyta; Magnoliopsida; Malpighiales; Euphorbiaceae. The record is from RNAcentral.
AAAGUGCUGCUCAUUUGCAGCCAAACAGUCCAGUUUUAAACACAAACAUGUAUGUACAUGGGCAUAGUUACUUCAGUGGGAUUCUAAACAAACUUGAUACUUGCUCAGUGAGCUGGAUUGGAAUUGAACUUAAAACUUCAAGCUUAGUGAAGCGCUCAAUGAGCUGGACGAGGAACAUAACUCAUUGUACGGUGUGCUUGGACUGCACAGGCACAGUGCACUGAUGUCAAGUUCAAACAGCCACUCAUGACAAGGGAAUGUCUACCUGAGCAGGUGUGAAGUGCAGGAAAUGAGUCGCAUAGUGCCUGCACAGCAGGAGGGGUAAGUGCUGUGCAUUGGCUGAUAUUGAGACUCCUUAACCCUUCCUCAUCGCACCUGCCCUUCAUGGAUUGCCACAUUGGAGGUUUGUUCUUCACUCGGCUAUGAACCAGUGAAUACAUGGCCCUAUCUGUGAUGUUUCGACAAUAAUACAGGCCAAGGGAUCUCAAAUGGAGACACCUGUAUGCCAAAGCAAUCACGCUAUCGUCUACAACAAAAUUAUAAAAAAGUCAGUCAUCAGAGAAAAUGCCAAAAUUACCUUAUGUAAAAAAAAAUAUCUUCUGCCUGAAACUUAAAGUAGCAAACUGCUCAACAUCAAAUAACAGACUCAGGAUUAAAAUUUAAUAUUGUUAUCACUAUAUUAAUCAUCUUUUAUCAAUAAGAAGGGCCAUUGUCCAGAACAAUGAUAAAAGUCUUCAGUCAGUGAAUAUAAACUAGAACACUCCACAAAAAAAUUUCUGGAAGAUAUUGCUAAAUAUUUCCUCUCAAGAAAAAUGGAUUUUGAACACCAGAUCUUAUCCUAAAUAUUCAAUUCUAGACUCACAACCUAGAUGCUGCAAAAAAUCUAAACGCAGGAAACCUAAAACUCAGGAAACCUAAAACUAAGGAAGAGGUUUGAGCUGCAGCUAUUCCCUUCUUAUGCAUAGAAAUUACACACAAAAAAAAAUGUAAAAUGUUGAUAUGUCUUUUACAAGAAAGCUUGACCAUCAAAACAACACAAUCAAUUCAUGAAUCAAAAAAAUAUGAAGACCAUUUUCAAUUCUCUAAUUGUUGAAUAGCCUCCCCAGACAUGAAAUACCUGUUAUACAGACACAUCCACAUAAAUCAAGAGUUCUGAGAUCAGGGCAUCCGUAUGCUAGGCUCACUACUCCAAGAUCACCCACAUUCUCACACCAUCCCAGAUUUAGAGAUUGCAACUGACUGCAGUUCUGUCCAAUAGCCUGCAAAGCACGGUCAGUUGCAGUCUUUACACAUCCACAAAGAUUCAAAAUUUUUAAUUUUCGGCAAAACCCAGUCAGAUAUUCAAGAGCACUAUCUGUAAAUGCUGUACACCCACUAAUGUUGAGUUUGGUAAGGUUGGGACAACCGUGAGCUAAUGCAUACAGGGAACAAUCACUAAGCUUAAAGCUUUUGCUGAGGUCUAGGUCUUGCAGAUUAUGACAGUAGCUUGCAAUAGCCUCAACAGCAUUAUCCUCAAGUUGUGGUUUAUCUUGUCGCAGUACCAGAGUUUCCAGUUUUGUGAAUUUAGGAGCCAGAGACAGAAGCAAGUUGUUCAUGUUGUUUUUGC